Long non-coding RNA from Triticum dicoccoides, 529 nucleotides. RefSeq lists it as uncharacterized. The record is from RefSeq and is a predicted model, not a curated record. The transcript has 3 exons. NCBI's taxonomy places the organism in Eukaryota, Viridiplantae, Streptophyta, Magnoliopsida, Poales, Poaceae.
GGACGCUGGACAACAUUGAGCUGAUGAACAACGCCUCUACCAUUGCGGGGGCAGUACGCCAGCUAUGGAGGAAGCAUUACCCAAAGUUCAGCAUCGAGCACUUCCAGAUUAUUGACAUUGACGUACCGAAGCAGCUUGGCAAUAAUGAGUGUGGGUUGUUCGCACUGCUUAACGCCACCGAGUGGAAUGGUAGCCAACUGCCCAACUACGACCCCAAGGAAGUACUCAACAUCAGGAAGAAGCUGACGUAUGAUUGGGUCACCAGCGUGCACAACACCGCCCCAUGGAGGAAGUUGCUGAGAUACGACAAGGAGUAGGUUUCCGUUUCGCAAGGAGCUCUUUUCAGAUUUUUCUGCACAUAAUUGGAUGCUACAUUUGAGAAGGAAAAUCCAGGUGAAAGAAGAAAGAAGAAUUGGAGGACAGAUUAUAGUUAUAUGUUUUUCAUCGCCGUUUAUGUUUCUAGAUCUGGUAUAUUUGAACAUAUUAAUAUGGUUUGCAAUAGGUGUGGGACCAGAAUAUAUGCGUGGGA